Molecule: long non-coding RNA, 451 nt
Organism: Lathyrus oleraceus (garden pea)
Lineage: Eukaryota; Viridiplantae; Streptophyta; Magnoliopsida; Fabales; Fabaceae
Exons: 3
Source: RefSeq, a predicted model, not a curated record
UCGGUUAAACGGUUUAAUCGGUUGGUCCAAACAGUUUAAUAUGGGUAGCAUUGGACCGGUUCGGACCUAUAUAUAUGAACCAUUUAAAACCGAACCGAACCGGUUUAAUUCACAAUUUUACAUGCUGGCAAUUUCACAAAGGCCCUAGCCUUUUUCCAUUCAGACUCAGCAAAACACACAUUUCCUCACUUUUCUCAUCUCACGCUCUCUCACUUUCUCUUCAAGAACUGUUCAUCUUCUCAAACCCUAAUCCACCGUCGCCGCUGCAAAAACCUUAAUAUGGCAUAGAUCCUUCUUCUAAACCGUGUAUAUUGUUCACUGAACUCUUCUUCAUCAUCUUCUUUAAGAUCUCUGAUUCUUCUAAAAAACUCUAAUCAGAUGGAGCAAGGAGAUAGUAGUAGAGAAGUACCACCAGUUGGGUUGGAAAUUAUGGAGCAAGAACAACAAGACA